This 440-nucleotide ribosomal RNA is filed under the name uncultured bacterium. RNAcentral describes it as "partial 16S ribosomal RNA". It matches the Rfam family "Bacterial small subunit ribosomal RNA", at positions 338 to 795 of the family's 1533-position model. The record is from RNAcentral.
CCUACGGGAGGCAGCAGUGGGGGAUAUUGCACAAUGGGGGAAACCCUGAUGCAGCGACGCCGCGUGUGGGAAGACGGUCCUCUGGAUUGUAAACCACUGUCCCCAGGGACGAAAAUGACGGUACCUGGGGAGGAAGCUCCGGCUAACUCCGUGCCAGCAGCCGCGGUAAUACGUAGGGAGCGAGGGUUGUCCGGAAUUACUGGGUGUAAGGGGAUCGUGGGCGGGACGGCAAGUUGGGGGUAAAAUCUACCGGCUCAACCGGUAGCCGCACUCAAAACUGCAGUUCUUGAGUGAAGUAGAGGCAGGCGGAAUUCCUAGUGUAGCGGUGAAAUGCGUAGAUAUUAGGAGGAACACCAGUGGCGAAGGCGGCCUGCUGGGCUUUUACUGACGCUGAGGCUCGAAAGUGUGGGGAGCAAACAGGAUUAGAUACCCCAGUAGUC